UCUUCAUACCACCCUGGACACACCCAACCUCAUCUGGGUCUCAGAAGCUAAGCAGGGUCAGGCCUGGUUAGUACUUGGAUGGGAGACAGAUCUUCAGAGGAGACUGCUCAGAGAC
Molecule: ribosomal RNA, 115 nt
Filed under: Castor canadensis (American beaver)
Lineage: Eukaryota; Metazoa; Chordata; Mammalia; Rodentia; Castoridae
Source: RNAcentral